GGGUUGUGAGGUUAAGCGACUAAGCGUACACGGUGGAUGCCCUGGCAGUCAGAGGCGAUGAAGGACGUGCUAAUCUGCGAUAAGCGCCGGUAAGGUGAUAUGAACCGUUAUAACCGGCGAUUUCCGAAUGGGGAAACCCAGUGUGAUUCGUCACACUAUCAUUAACUGAAUCCAUAGGUUAAUGAGGCGAACCGGGGGAACUGAAACAUCUAAGUACCCCGAGGAAAAGAAAUCAACCGAGAUUCCCCCAGUAGCGGCGAGCGAACGGGGAGGAGCCCAGAGCCUGAAUCAGCAUGUGUGUUAGUGGAAGCGUCUGGAAAGGCGCGCGAUACAGGGUGACAGCCCCGUACACAAAAGCGCAUGUGCUGUGAGCUCGAUGAGUAGGGCGGGACACGUGGUAUCCUGUCUGAAUAUGGGGGGACCAUCCUCCAAGGCUAAAUACUCCUGACUGACCGAUAGUGAACCAGUACCGUGAGGGAAAGGCGAAAAGAACCCCGGCGAGGGGAGUGAAAAAGAACCUGAAACCGUGUACGUACAAGCAGUGGGAGCCCCACCACCAAAGCAUUCUCUGGUGUUGAAGGCCCUGCAAAGCAGCAUCGCGGUGGCGGAGCGUCGUUUGCGACGCCCAACACACAAAACAAGCGGUGAGUGCUUUGGGGUGGGGUGACUGCGUACCUUUUGUAUAAUGGGUCAGCGACUUAUAUUCUGUAGCAAGGUUAACCGUAUAGGGGAGCCGGAGGGAAACCGAGUCUUAAUUGGGCGUUAAGUUGCAGGGUAUAGACCCGAAACCCGGUGAUCUAGCCAUGGGCAGGUUGAAGGUUGGGUAACACUAACUGGAGGACCGAACCGACUAAUGUUGAAAAAUUAGCGGAUGACCUGUGGCUGGGGGUGAAAGGCCAAUCAAACCGGGAGAUAGCUGGUUCUCCCCGAAAGCUAUUUAGGUAGCGCCUCGUGAAUUCAUCUCCGGGGGUAGAGCACUGUUUCGGCUAGGGGGCCAUCCCGGCUUACCAACCCGAUGCAAACUGCGAAUACCGGAGAAUGUUAUCACGGGAGACACACGGCGGGUGCUAACGUCCGUCGUGAAGAGGGAAACAACCCAGACCGCCAGCUAAGGUCCCAAAGUCAUGGUUAAGUGGGAAACGAUGUGGGAAGGCCCAGACAGCCAGGAUGUUGGCUUAGAAGCAGCCAUCAUUUAAAGAAAGCGUAAUAGCUCACUGGUCGAGUCGGCCUGCGCGGAAGAUGUAACGGGGCUAAACCAUGCACCGAAGCUGCGGCAGCGAACGUAUCACUUAAAGCGAUUCAGCGGGUUACGAUUGACGGAGCGAAGCGACGUCAAAGCGUAUACAAAGUCGAGUCGGUUUAAGGAUACGUUCGUUGGGUAGGGGAGCGUUCUGUAAGCCUGCGAAGGUGGCCUGUGAGGGUUGCUGGAGGUAUCAGAAGUGCGAAUGCUGACAUAAGUAACGAUAAAGCGGGUGAAAAGCCCGCUCGCCGGAAGACCAAGGGUUCCUGUCCAACGUUAAUCGGGGCAGGGUGAGUCGACCCCUAAGGCGAGGCCGAAAGGCGUAGUCGAUGGGAAACGGGUUAAUAUUCCCGUACUUGGUGUUACUGCGAAGGGGGGACGGAGAAGGCUAUGUUGGCCGGGCGACGGUUGUCCCGGUUUAAGCGUGUAGGCUGGUUUUCCAGGCAAAUCCGGAAAAUCAAGGCUGAGGCGUGACGACGAGGCACUACGGUGCUGAAGCAACAAAUGCCCUGCUUCCAGGAAAAGCCUCUAAGCAUCAGGUAACAUCAAAUCGUACCCCAAACCGACACAGGUGGUCAGGUAGAGAAUACCAAGGCGCUUGAGAGAACUCGGGUGAAGGAACUAGGCAAAAUGGUGCCGUAACUUCGGGAGAAGGCACGCUGACAUGUAGGUGAAGUGAUUUACUCAUGGAGCUGAAGUCAGUCGAAGAUACCAGCUGGCUGCAACUGUUUAUUAAAAACACAGCACUGUGCAAACACGAAAGUGGACGUAUACGGUGUGACGCCUGCCCGGUGCCGGAAGGUUAAUUGAUGGGGUCAGCGCAAGCGAAGCUCCUGAUCGAAGCCCCGGUAAACGGCGGCCGUAACUAUAACGGUCCUAAGGUAGCGAAAUUCCUUGUCGGGUAAGUUCCGACCUGCACGAAUGGCGUAAUGAUGGCCAGGCUGUCUCCACCCGAGACUCAGUGAAAUUGAACUCGCUGUGAAGAUGCAGUGUACCCGCGGCAAGACGGAAAGACCCCGUGAACCUUUACUAUAGCUUGACACUGAACAUUGAGCCUUGAUGUGUAGGAUAGGUGGGAGGCUUUGAAGUGUGGACGCCAGUCUGCAUGGAGCCGACCUUGAAAUACCACCCUUUAAUGUUUGAUGUUCUAACGUGGACCCGUUACCCGGGUUGCGGACAGUGUCUGGUGGGUAGUUUGACUGGGGCGGUCUCCUCCUAAAGAGUAACGGAGGAGCACGAAGGUUGGCUAAUCCUGGUCGGACAUCAGGAGGUUAGUGCAAUGGCAUAAGCCAGCUUGACUGCGAGCGUGACGGCGCGAGCAGGUGCGAAAGCAGGUCAUAGUGAUCCGGUGGUUCUGAAUGGAAGGGCCAUCGCUCAACGGAUAAAAGGUACUCCGGGGAUAACAGGCUGAUACCGCCCAAGAGUUCAUAUCGACGGCGGUGUUUGGCACCUCGAUGUCGGCUCAUCACAUCCUGGGGCUGAAGUAGGUCCCAAGGGUAUGGCUGUUCGCCAUUUAAAGUGGUACGCGAGCUGGGUUUAGAACGUCGUGAGACAGUUCGGUCCCUAUCUGCCGUGGGCGCUGGAGAACUGAGGGGGGCUGCUCCUAGUACGAGAGGACCGGAGUGGACGCAUCACUGGUGUUCGGGUUGUCAUGCCAAUGGCACUGCCCGGUAGCUAAAUGCGGAAGAGAUAAGUGCUGAAAGCAUCUAAGCACGAAACUUGCCCCGAGAUGAGUUCUCCCUGAGACUUUAGGUCUCCUGAAGGAACGUUGAAGACGACGACGUUGAUAGGCCGGGUGUGUAAGCGCAGCGAUGCGUUGAGCUAACCGGUACUAAUGAACCGUGAGGCUUAACCUUACAACGCCGAAG
This 3108-nucleotide ribosomal RNA is filed under the name Salmonella enterica. RNAcentral's name for it is "bacterial LSU rRNA". It matches the Rfam family "Bacterial large subunit ribosomal RNA". Lineage: Bacteria; Pseudomonadati; Pseudomonadota; Gammaproteobacteria; Enterobacterales; Enterobacteriaceae. The record is from RNAcentral.